UAUGCAUUUAUACUCUGAAACCAUUUUUAUACAUACUUAUGCCUUUUUUAUUUUUUCAGAUAUCUUACCUCUUAAUGAUGUUCUGCAUCAGGCAGUACAGGCCUGUUGAUGUGCCUACUGUUUGCAGUUGUUCUAUGUGCUAAUUUAUUGGUACACAGAUAUGCCUGGACCAUUGCUAAGGUAUUUUUUUCCUGACAAUUCAUGACGAGUGCAAACUUCACUGACCAGUUCAGUACUUAAUUAUAUUCUACUUUCCCUUUCUUGAGCCAAAGCACAUUAUCAUCGAGGAUAAUGGGAGCUUGUAUCAUGAUUUUUGCUUGACCAGAUAACUGAUAGCAAUAACUUUUCUUCUGUCGGCUCAGCAGGUUGACUGAAUGUUAAUCUGACCUUUUUAUAUCAACCAGUAUUUUGAUUUUUCAGUCAGUUUGAAUUCAUGAUGAGCAGCUUAUGUUUUGGUCAAGGGAUUUUGAUUGCUGCUUUAAGAGGUGAUCAUUUUGUCCGUUUGAGGAAGAGAUUGGAUUUGGUGGGCCGAUGAAGCUCAGCUUUCCCACCAGAGGCAGAGUACUAACCAUGAUAUCGCUUGCCUUUUGACCCUGCAAGGCAGCUCAAUCAAUUUGGCAUUGCAUCCUUUGCUGGCAGCGCUUCUCUUCAUCCCAUUGAGGUCCAGAGGACGAUUCUGGCUCAAAAGACGUUUACAAAGUGAUCAUUCUGUCAAAUUCCAGAAGGCUGUUCCUCAUCAUUAUACUUAUACAGACCAAAUGGUGACUGGGGUCAGAUAUCAAAGAGAAGCAUCUCAAAGAAAAGAAUCUCACAAAAGCGGCACACAAAGGUACCAUCCCUUAGCUAGUUAGUUUGCUCACCUUCUCUGUUUUAUUAAAACGACCCAGUCUUUUCUGUAUCCUUGAGCUGGUGGGAAGGGACGAUACGAUUCAAUGACAACACAUAAAGCAUAAGCCUUCCACCAAAAACCAAAACGAACAAGCAAAAAAGAGUAAAGGACGUGAAGCCUAGCUUCUUUUUUUUGUCUCCUAUAUAUGUCCAACAAGUUGGCCACACUACCGCAUGCUUUUCCAGUAAAAAAAAGGGAGAGUUGGUUUUCUUUUUUCCGAGGUGAUUGGUGGCACUGGCAGAUUUUCCUUUCGGCAUAAGCUGUUAUAUUAUUGUUAUCAUGUACCCCUCCGUUCUUUUUUAGUCGCGUUUUAGUUUAAAAAUGAAACGACAAAUAUUCGAGAACGGAUGUAGUAUAUCAUCAUCAUAUAUCUAAACUAAACUAAAAGGCCAUCUAAAUCUAAAGUCUAUUGUGUUGAAAAGAAUGCUAUAGAUAUGUUCUGGUUCUGAUUCUGAUAAUAGACAGGCACAAUAUAUACGCGAUAGGAAGUGGAAGUACCGCCGUUGAUUGGGAAACAUACAAAGAAGAUUGGGAAGCAUACAAAGAGGAUGACGAUUCUGCUACAUCUACAUGCAUGACUUAAGGUAUGGACACCCUACUAGAACGGUUGCUAGCUAGCACUGCACUGCCAUUAAACAGAGAAGGGGAGGAGAGGAAAACAAACAAAAAGCACCUUUUUUUGGGUUGCCUAGAUUUGUUAGCUUCUUGUUGCAGCGGUAUCUACUAGGGAGUACUAGGAUGGCAUAGAAUAGAAGAAGUGGAGGUGCCUGCCUGCUGAAACCGUUCUUUCCUCUGAACAACUCAUCUCAUCUUUUUGAUCGUGAAGUGUUU
RNAcentral lists this long non-coding RNA (1720 nucleotides) under Zea mays. RNAcentral describes it as "long non-coding RNA (ZMAY_LNC003534)". Lineage: Eukaryota; Viridiplantae; Streptophyta; Magnoliopsida; Poales; Poaceae. The record is from RNAcentral.